RNAcentral lists this ribosomal RNA (314 nucleotides) under uncultured bacterium. RNAcentral describes it as "bacterial SSU rRNA". It matches the Rfam family "Bacterial small subunit ribosomal RNA", at positions 28 to 334 of the family's 1533-position model. The record is from RNAcentral.
GACGAACGCUGGCGGUGUGCUUAACACAUGCAAGUCAACGAGAAUUUAUCUUCGGAUAAUAGUAAAGUGGCGAACGGGUGAGUAACGCGUAAAUAACUUGCCUUGGAGAUUGGGACAACAUUGGGAAACCAGUGCUAAUACCAAAUAAUGCAGCGGGCCCUCCGGGGCAUAGUUGUUAAAGUAGGCUUCGGCUUACACUUCAAGAUAGAUUUGCGUCCGAUUAGUUAGUUGGUAGGGUAAUAGCCUACCAAGACCGAGAUCGGUAGCUGGUCUGAGAGGAUGAUCAGCCACACUGGAAUUGAGAUACGGUCCAG